UGAGUAACGCGUAUCCAACCUGCCUUACACUCUUGGACAGCCUUCUGAAAGGGAGAUUUAUACAAGAUGUUAUCAUGAGUAAGCAUUUUCGCAUGAUUAAAGGUUUACCGGUGUAAGAUGGGGAUGCGUUCCAUUAGAUAGUAGGCGGGGUAACGGCCCACCUAGUCUUCGAUGGAUAGGGGUUCUGAGAGGAAGGUCCCCCACAUUGGAACUGAGACACGGUCCAAACUCCUACGGGAGGCAGCAGUGAGGAAUAUUGGUCAAUGGACGAGAGUCUGAACCAGCCAAGUAGCGUGAAGGAUGACUGCCCUAUGGGUUGUAAACUUCUUUUAUACGGGAAUAAAGUGAGCCACGUGUGGCUUUUUGUAUGUACCGUAUGAAUAAGGAUCGGCUAACUCCGUGCCAGCAGCCGCGGUAAUACGGAGGAUCCGAGCGUUAUCCGGAUUUAUUGGGUUUAAAGGGAGCGUAGGCGGGUUGUUAAGUCAGUUGUGAAAGUUUGCGGCUCAACCGUAAAUUGCAGUUGAUACUGGCGACCUGAGUGCAACAGAGGUAGGCGGAAUUC
This 562-nucleotide ribosomal RNA is filed under the name uncultured bacterium. Its description in RNAcentral is "bacterial SSU rRNA". It matches the Rfam family "Bacterial small subunit ribosomal RNA", at positions 107 to 669 of the family's 1533-position model. The record is from RNAcentral.